RNAcentral lists this ribosomal RNA (497 nucleotides) under uncultured bacterium. RNAcentral's name for it is "partial 16S ribosomal RNA". It matches the Rfam family "Bacterial small subunit ribosomal RNA", at positions 28 to 507 of the family's 1533-position model. The record is from RNAcentral.
GAUGAACGCUGGCGGCGUGCCUAAUACAUGCAAGUCGAGCGAACGGGCGCUACUUUUGUUGCGUGAUUGUUUGGGGCGGGGGGGUGUGAAACGCGUGUAAACCCUCCUUGAAAUUCGGGUAAAAUUUGGGAAAACGGGAGCAAAUCCGGUAGAAUAUUUUGAUCCGCAGGGUGGAAAGGUAAAUUACGGCGUUGCGGUAUCUACUAGCGGGUUCCGCGCUGCUUUAGCUGGUUGUGAAGGUAACGGCUUACCAAGGCAAGGAUGCAUAACCGACCUGAGAGGGUGAUAGGCCACACUGGAACUGAGACACGGUCCAGACUCCUACGGGAGGCAGCAGUAGGGAAUCUUCCGCAAUGGGCGAAAGCCUGACGGAGCAACGCCGCGUGAGUGAUGAAGGUCUUCGGAUCGUAAAACUCUGUUAUUAGGGAAGAACAUAUGUGUAAGUAACUGUGCACAUCUUGACGGUACCUAAUCAGAAAGCCACGGCUAACUACGUG